GUCGGUUCGCCGACUAUGGCGAUAAACGCCUUGUGGAAUAAGCGUUGUGGACCCGGGGGCGGUACCCGGCGCCUCCACCA
This 80-nucleotide transfer-messenger RNA is filed under the name Azospirillum sp. B510. Its description in RNAcentral is "transfer-messenger RNA Azosp_sp_B510". It matches the Rfam family "Alphaproteobacteria transfer-messenger RNA", at positions 40 to 119 of the family's 355-position model. Rfam says of the family: Bacterial tmRNA, also known as 10Sa RNA or SsrA, is named for its dual tRNA and mRNA-like properties. RNAcentral also lists the same sequence under 1 other name. Lineage: Bacteria; Pseudomonadati; Pseudomonadota; Alphaproteobacteria; Rhodospirillales; Azospirillaceae. The record is from RNAcentral.